This 468-nucleotide ribosomal RNA is filed under the name uncultured bacterium. RNAcentral's name for it is "partial 16S ribosomal RNA". It matches the Rfam family "Bacterial small subunit ribosomal RNA", at positions 28 to 507 of the family's 1533-position model. The record is from RNAcentral.
GACGAACGCUGGCGGCGUGCUUAACACAUGCAAGUCGAACGGAAAGGCCCUGCUUUUGUGGGGUGCUCGAGUGGCGAACGGGUGAGUAACACGUGAGUAACCUGCCCUUGACUUUGGGAUAACUUCAGGAAACUGGGACUAAUACCGGAUAGGAGCUCCUGCUGCAUGGUGGGGGUUGGAAAGUUUCGGCGGUUGGGGAUGGACUCGCGGCUUAUCAGCUUGUUGGUGGGGUAGUGGCUUACCAAGGCUUUGACGGGUAGCCGGCCUGAGAGGGUGACCGGCCACAUUGGGACUGAGAUACGGCCCAGACUCCUACGGGAGGCAGCAGUGGGGAAUAUUGCACAAUGGGCGGAAGCCUGAUGCAGCAACGCCGCGUGCGGGAUGACGGCCUUCGGGUUGUAAACCGCUUUCGCCUGUGACGAAGCGUGAGUGACGGUAAUGGGUAAAGAGGCACCGGCUAACUACGUG